AACGAACGCUGGCGGCAUGCCUAACACAUGCAAGUCGAACGGGAUCCGGACUUCGGUCCGGUGAGAGUGGCGGACGGGUGAGUAACACGUGGGAACCUGCCUUUUGGUUCGGGAUAACCGCGGGAAACUGCGGCUAAUACCGGAUGCUCCCGAGAGGGAAAAGAUUUAUCGCCAGAAGAGGGGCCCGCGUCCGAUUAGGUAGUUGGUGGGGUAAUGGCCUACCAAGCCGACGAUCGGUAGCUGGUCUGAGAGGAUGAUCAGCCACACUGGGACUGAGAUACGGCCCAGACUCCUACGGGAGGCAGCAGUGGGGAAUAUUGGACAAUGGGGGCAACCCUGAUCCAGCAAUGCCGCGUGAGUGAUGAAGGCCUUAGGGUUGUAAAGCUCUUUUGCCAGGGAAGAUGAUGACUGUACCUGGAGAAUAAGCCCCGGCUAACUUCGUGCCAGCAGCCGCGGUAAU
Molecule: ribosomal RNA, 460 nt
Filed under: uncultured bacterium
Lineage: Bacteria
Description: bacterial SSU rRNA
Rfam family: Bacterial small subunit ribosomal RNA
Source: RNAcentral